CACUCCGGAGCAGGUAUUCCUGGAGAAAAGGUUGAAAACCACUGCUUGAGGUUCAGCAAUUUAUUACCAACCCCUGCCCCAACAAGGUAAGGAAAGCUGGCACAAAAGAGACAACAACAGUUGCUAAAUGACAAGAUGGAGCAGCCCACACAGAGCAUGGAGGGAGAAGCACAGAUGGCAGAGGAAGGGCUUGCAGGAGGCUGUGGGAACGCGGGCAGAAUGUAAAUCUCAUUGAAGCAUCUUGGUAAAUAAUUUGGUUAAUAAAAAAGUAGUUUAGUUUUAGAAUCCUGGAAGUCUUUUCAUGUUACUACCCUGCACACUGAACGUGAAACUGGGAGAGAUUGUGGCUCUGUCCUGUAGGGGAAGAAUAAACAAAGGAUUUAAAUAUAAAUCCUUAUUAUAAUCUGAGAGAUAGCGCCAACUCUUCUGGAGGAAGAGCCAGGUGGAAUAAAUAGUUUCAUCAUAAUUCACUGAGAACUGGGGUCAUUUGCUACUUUGUGAAUGAAGCAAACGCUGCUUUGUUUCUGCCACAGGUUUUACUGCUUGAAAGCAAGAGAGAAAGAAAGAAAAAGAGAGAAGGAAGGAAGGAAGGAAGGAAGGAAGGAAGGAAGGAAGGAAGGAAAGGAAGCUGCGUUCCCUGUGCUCUGCCUGCUGAGAAGUAGCUGCCAAACAGAAAUGGAAUAUAACUGUACACAGCAGGAGACAAAACCUCACUUCGUCCCCCUUUCAGUUUGGAGGAACAGUGAGAUCUCACUGUGUAGACCCAGGCCGCUGGGUUCAGGACAGCAUUGUGUACUUGGAAGAAGAAGCAAGACCUAUGAGAUUUGCAAACAGGAGCCAUAA
Molecule: long non-coding RNA, 843 nt
Filed under: Anas platyrhynchos platyrhynchos (common mallard)
Lineage: Eukaryota; Metazoa; Chordata; Aves; Anseriformes; Anatidae
Description: lncRNA (ENSAPLG00000026459.1)
Source: RNAcentral